This 253-nucleotide ribosomal RNA is filed under the name uncultured bacterium. RNAcentral describes it as "partial 16S ribosomal RNA". It matches the Rfam family "Bacterial small subunit ribosomal RNA", at positions 524 to 776 of the family's 1533-position model. The record is from RNAcentral.
UACAGAGGGUGCGAGCGUUGUCCGGAAUCACUGGGCGGAAAGGGCGCGUAGGUGGCGGCAUAAGGCCGUGGUGAAAGUCUGGGGCUCAACCCCAGAUCGGCCGCGGCGACUGUGUUGCUAGGGCACCGUAGAGGCAGAUGGAAUUCCGGGUGUAGCGGUGGAAUGCGUAGAGAUCCGGAAGAACACCGGUGGCGAAGGCGGCCUGCUGGGCGGCGACUGACGCUGAGGCGCGACAGCGUGGGGAGCAAACAGG